Pygocentrus nattereri (red-bellied piranha) is the source of this 1556-nucleotide long non-coding RNA. RefSeq lists it as uncharacterized. The record is from RefSeq and is a predicted model, not a curated record. Lineage: Eukaryota; Metazoa; Chordata; Actinopteri; Characiformes; Serrasalmidae. The transcript is spliced from 2 exons.
CAGAGAGGACACCGGUCACCCAGGCCCUCUUUGCUGUGAGAUGAUUCCCCAAGAGCAGCAACACUCACAAGAUGCCUGGGACAGAUGAUUGUGAAGGAUCUCCAGCCUCUGUCCAUAGUGGAAGACCAAGGUUUCCAAGCAUUUGUGAGAGCUCUUGACCCUAAAUAUAAUCUCCCAGGAAGAAAAAAACUGACAGAGACUCAUCUUCUUAAUAUGUUCGAUGAAUGCAAAGGCAAAGUAAGGGCGUCUUUGCAAAAUGCUUCUAGUGUUGUAAUAACCACUGAUAUGUGGACUUCAGUUUCCACAGAGGCAUAUUUAACUGUAACAUGUCAUCUAAUUGAAAACUGGCAAAUGAGGGAAUUUGUUUUGGAAACCCACACUUUCCAAGGGCAGCAUACAGCAGAUAAUAUCUGUUUAACACUUAAACGAAUCACAGAUGAAUGGGGCAUAACUGACAAGGUUGUUGCAGUUGUGACAGACAAUGGUGCAAAUAUGGUAGCUGCAGUGCACAAGGCUGGAUGGAGGCAUCAUCCAUGUUUUGCACAUACACUAAAUUUAGUUGUAAAGGACAGUAUAAAAACUGUCCCAGAAGUGGUGAAAGUGCUGGAGAAAUGCAGUGCAAUCGUGUCCUUUUUUCACCACAGCACACAGGCCACACAAAAGCUCAGGGGUAUUCAACAACAGUUGAAAGUGGCAGAGCACAAGCUAAUCCAGUCAGUAGAUACCCGCUGGGUUUUUUACAUGCUGGAGAGGAUAUGUGAACAAAAUGAAGCUGUGACCACUGCCCUCUGCCUUUUAGGGAGGAAUGCACUGUGCUUAAAUCAGGGAGAACUAUCCCUCAUCAAGCAAACAGUUGAUGCAUUAAGACCAUUUGAGGAAGUGACACGGGAAGUUUCGGCUGAUAAGUAUAUUUAAGUCUCCAAAGUUAUUCCACUUGUAUCACUCAUUCACAGGGCUGUAGCAGCCUGUGAGUGUCAAGGUAGCUCACUUGCUGCACAACUGGCACAGCAAUGUCAGCGCAGAUUCAGGGGUAUUGAGAGCAUUUACUGUCUAGCUGCCAGUACAUUUCUGGAUGUUAGAUUUAAACAUCUUGGAUUUCGAGACAAGGACAAUGUGGAAGUCAUGAAAAAACGUCUCCUCUCAGCAAUGCAGGAAGUGUAUCAGACAAGACAGGCAGCUCUCACUCUAGCCCCAAGCUCAACAGCUACUGUUAGCUCUUCCCCAUAUACUUCCACUUCAGGGCCUUCUACUUCAGAGCCAAACCAGAGUCCUGCCCCCUCAGGUUCAGCUGUAUCAAAAGGAGGCAUAUGGACUGAUUUUGACAUGCAGGUUUUGUCAGGACAACAUCACAGGUCAGCUGCCAGUGAUGUACUCAUUGAAAUACGUUGGUACUCAGAAGAGAAAGUGAUUCCCCGAAAUAGUGAUGCACUGGUUUGGUGGAAAGAACAUGAACCAACCUUCCCAGCCUUGAGCAAACUAGCAGUGAGAUACAUGGGAAUUACUGCCACUUCUGUCCCAGCAGAGAGAGUCUUUUCAAAGGCAGGAGAGGUUCUGAG